This 1719-nucleotide long non-coding RNA is filed under the name Zea mays. RNAcentral describes it as "long non-coding RNA (ZMAY_LNC003882)". Lineage: Eukaryota; Viridiplantae; Streptophyta; Magnoliopsida; Poales; Poaceae. The record is from RNAcentral.
UGGUUUGCAGGAAAGGGAAAUGAGCACCACAUAUCUCCUGUCGAUCUUAAUCCAUUGGGAAGGGGAAGGUUAUGACCGGGACACGAAGUACGACCUGGAUGUGUUUCCUUAUCAACCUCGGCCCACGGCGUCGACAAGGCACACUGCACCGGCGCCAUUGCCUCCCUUAGCCCGGUGCACUGCUCUUUCACCUCCAUCCAUUCAAGCUGUGCCCAGUACACCCCCCUCAAGGCACACAAAGACGUCUUCAAUGAGAGCAAUGAUGGUUAGCUAAUAGCUACAAUCUUCCUAGAGACACAAUUCUCCCUUCUCCAUUUUGAUUUCUUUGACUUAGGGGGUGUUUGAAUGCACUAGAGCUAAUAGUUAGUGGUUAAAAUUAGUUGGAGACAUCCCAACACGUUAGCUAAUAGUUCAACUAUUAGCUAUUUUUAGUAAAUUAGUUAAUAGUUAGCUAUCUAUUUGUUAGCUAGCUAAUUGCACUAGCAAUUUUUUAGCUAACUAACUAUUAGCUCUAGUGCAUUCAAACACCCCCUUAAUCCAAGCAAAAGCUAGUGCAUGCAAAAAAAGGUAAUGGUCUAAAAACUUCCAUCCCUAUCCCAAACCCACCAAAUUAUAACCAACUCAUAUCUCUACCCCAAAUCCACACUGCACCCAAAAAUCUACCUAGCCCCUAGAGUCAUCACUAGUAAUCUGUUGGGGUGAAGGCAAAGACGCUACCCUUCGCUCGUUGCCUUCGCCAACCUCGCCGCACCAACGGAGACAAAGCGACCGGCAAUUUCCACCCUUCGUCCAACACGCUGCAAGACGAAGGCCUACGACGAGGUCGCCCCGUCUCGCGUCCUCGUCCAACACGAAGGCCCACGAGAGAUUCGGCCCAUUGUAACAGGCCCCGCGCGGCUGUAGUGUAUUACGGGCCCGAUUUGUAAAGACUUUUCUGUAAUGACAGUCUGUAACCCUGCUUCAUGGGAAUAUUCCGGGGAUGACCUAAGCGCCUGAAGGCACAUGCGUCCUUAAUCCAAGACGCUGGGUACUCAGGCACCUAUAAAUACCCCCGCACAGUGCCCUUGAGAGGCCAGAUUAACAGAGCAAUUGCCAUCCCAAGUUGAAACCUUGUUUGUACUCCUCUCGAUCCCCCUGUUGGAUCAUCUUGCCCAGGAGAGCAAGUUCCAACAUAAUCAUUGGGUGAAAGAUCGUAUGACCAACUAAAGCAAAUGACCAAUCUCGAGUUCUUAGCAGUGAUUGUAAGUCGUCCGACUAAACGCGAUUAGUUCCUGGUCGCCAACGUCUAGGCUUUUUGCUGAUAUUACUUGGGCCAAUGUGGAUGAAGUUGCUGGUGCAACGGAGGGUCUAAGGGGCCGUAACUUGCCUUGUGCUGCUUCUACUCGUGCUGCUGCAGUUUCUAACCAUAUUAUUUCUUAUUCUCGGUCUAGAAAGCGACAAAGGGACACAGCCCAACAGUCUGAAGGUGAUGCAGCAGAUGAAAUGGAUGAGGACAAUGAUGACGAAUUUGGAUCUGCUGAAGUUGCUGAUGCAGGCUUCCAUUGGAUGAUGAUUUGGUUUAGAUUAUAGUAUGCUUCAAGCAAGUUGUUUGCUGCAUUUUUGUUCCUGCUCAGUGCUCAUAUCUUUUGUGCUAUUUAUAUGUAAGUAUAACUACUAGUCUAAAAGGUCUAGAACGACCAGGGACCGACUUGGACUUCUUCAACACUUUGAAUCAAUGUA